Molecule: ribosomal RNA, 253 nt
Filed under: uncultured bacterium
Lineage: Bacteria
Description: partial 16S ribosomal RNA
Rfam family: Bacterial small subunit ribosomal RNA
Source: RNAcentral
UACGUAGGUGACCAGCGUUGUCCGGAUUUACUGGGCGCAAAGAGCGCGCAGGCGGUCGUUCAAGUCGAGUGUGAAAGCCCCCGGCUCAACUGGGGAGGGUCACUCGAUACUGAUCGACUUGAAGGCAGGAGAGGGAAGCGGAAUUCCCGGUGUAGUGGUGAAAUGCGUAGAUAUCGGGAGGAACACCAGUGGCGAAGGCGGCUUCCUGGCCUGUUCUUGACGCUGAGGCGCGAAAGCUAGGGGAGCAAACGGG